RNAcentral lists this ribosomal RNA (721 nucleotides) under uncultured bacterium. Its description in RNAcentral is "bacterial SSU rRNA". It matches the Rfam family "Bacterial small subunit ribosomal RNA", at positions 8 to 722 of the family's 1533-position model. The record is from RNAcentral.
AGAGUUUGAUCAUGGCUCAGAUUGAACGCUGGCGGCAUGCCUUACACAUGCAAGUCGAACGGCAGCACGGGGGCAACCCUGGUGGCGAGUGGCGAACGGGUGAGUAAUACAUCGGAACGUGCCCUGUAGUGGGGGAUAGCCCGGCGAAAGCCGGAUUAAUACCGCAUACGACCUAAGGGUGAAAGCGGGGGACCUGCAAGGGCCUCGCGCAGUUGGAGCGGCCGAUGUCAGAUUAGCUAGUUGGUGGGGUAAAAGCCUACCAAGGCGACGAUCUGUAGCUGGUCUGAGAGGACGACCAGCCACACUGGGACUGAGACACGGCCCAGACUCCUACGGGAGGCAGCAGUGGGGAAUUUUGGACAAUGGGCGCAAGCCUGAUCCAGCCAUGCCGCGUGCGGGAAGAAGGCCUUCGGGUUGUAAACCGCUUUUGUCAGGGAAGAAACGCUUUGGGCUAAUACCCCGGGGUAAUGACGGUACCUGAAGAAUAAGCACCGGCUAACUACGUGCCAGCAGCCGCGGUAAUACGUAGGGUGCAAGCGUUAAUCGGAAUUACUGGGCGUAAAGCGUGCGCAGGCGGUUAUGCAAGACAGAUGUGAAAUCCCCGGGCUCAACCUGGGAACUGCAUUUGUGACUGUAUAGCUAGAGUGCGGUAGAGGGGGAUGGAAUUCCGCGUGUAGCAGUGAAAUGCGUAGAUAUGCGGAGGAACACCGAUGGCGAAGGC